GAGAGAGAGAGAGAGAGAGAGAGAAACGAGCUGGCGGAGAGGAGCAGAAGGCAGGAGGGGAAAUCUGGCACAACGGCUGGGAGAGGAAACUUGAUGCUUCUGGGCCACCAUUUGCCAGGGCCUCGCUCGAGACGCCGAAAGAAGCCUGUUUGUGUGCUGCGGCCGUGCUGUGACUUUGGAUCUUGUCUUUCAGCCGGCGCCUCGGUUCCUGCCCAGCUGGAUUUGGGGGGCAGCAUUGCCUGGCGCAGGGAGAUCAAAUGAGACUGCAAAGAAGCAUAAAAUGAAUAGACAAUCCAACCAACCAAAGGAAAUUGCUUUGGAGAUGAGGAAACAAACUCUUAUGGAGACCUAAGAGACUGAAGACAUCUGGCGUGGACUACUCUGAUGGUAAAAUUGAAAGUACACCUAAAUUUGCUUUGUUACAGGAUUCUCUUCAGAGGACAAGAGAAGAUGUUACAUUCUCUGCAUGAGGACAAUUCUGCAGCAUCAAAAUCGAAUAAUAUUUGUUUUCUGGCAGCAGAAUUUUGUAUCAUAUUUCUAAAGACAGUAAGCACUUGGGUGGACGUCAAUGAAUACUAAACACUAAUUGAUCUGAUACAGCCGUAUGCACAUACACAGAUAUACAUGGUGGCUUGUAAUGGUUGAAAAAUUACGGUUUGGUUUUAUUAAAAGAUCUGUCACUUUUAG
This 687-nucleotide long non-coding RNA is filed under the name Homo sapiens (human). RNAcentral's name for it is "HSALNT0327969". The record is from RNAcentral. Lineage: Eukaryota; Metazoa; Chordata; Mammalia; Primates; Hominidae.